This 774-nucleotide ribosomal RNA is filed under the name uncultured Neocallimastigales. RNAcentral's name for it is "partial large subunit ribosomal RNA". It matches the Rfam family "Eukaryotic large subunit ribosomal RNA", at positions 24 to 646 of the family's 3401-position model. The record is from RNAcentral. Lineage: Eukaryota; Fungi; Neocallimastigomycota; Neocallimastigomycetes; Neocallimastigales.
UAUGUGAUCGUCUCUCGCAUAUCAAUAAGCGGAGGAAAAGAAACUAACAAGGAUUCCCCUAGUAACGGCGAGUGAAGCGGGAAGAGCUCAAAUUUGAAAUCUUAAAGGGUUUCCCUUUACGAAUUGUAGUUUAAAGAAGUGUUUUCUGUUGAGGUUUUGGUAAAAGUUCUUUGGAAUAGGACAUCAUAGAGGGUGAGAAUCCCGUAUUUGACCUUUACUUUCAACUUUGUGAUACACUUUCAGAGAGUCGGAUUGUUUGGGAAUGCAGCCCAAAAUGGGUGGUAAAUUUCAUCUAAAGCUAAAUAUUGGCGAGAGACCGAUAGCGAACAAGUACCGUGAGGGAAAGAUGAAAAGAACUUUGAAAAGAGAGUUAAACAGUACGUGAAAUUGUCAAAAGGGAAGCGUUUGACACCAGUGUUGUUUUUCUGAAAACCAAUUAAAGAACUGUUUAUGCUAAGUUGUUUAGACUUUAUCAGCUAACUGUUUAGUUUUGAGCUUUUCUUUAAUGCACUUUUCAGUUAACAAGUCAACAUCAAUUUCUUUUGCUGUAAAAAAGCUUGAGGAAGGUGGCUUGAGAUUCGUCUUAAGUGUUUAUAGCCUCUUGCCUAUGCAGUCGGAGAGAUUGAGGUCUGCAGCGUAGAUCCUUCGGGGCUAAAUGCAUUUGUGCUAAGUUAUAGCAUUUUAUAGACAACUUGUUGACUAUGAUUUGUCUUGUAGCUUACUCGCUUAUGUUAUUUUACCUACGCUUAGGAUGUUGACACACGCGCGUGCUCG